AUGCUCUCUUUGGCAGCACAUAUACUAAAAUUGGAACAAUACAGAGAAGAUUAGCACAGCCCCUGAACAAGGAUGGCAUGCAAAUUCAUGAAGCAUUCCAUAUUUUU
Molecule: small nuclear RNA, 107 nt
Organism: Urocitellus parryii (Arctic ground squirrel)
Lineage: Eukaryota; Metazoa; Chordata; Mammalia; Rodentia; Sciuridae
Source: Ensembl